This 253-nucleotide ribosomal RNA is filed under the name uncultured bacterium. RNAcentral's name for it is "partial 16S ribosomal RNA". It matches the Rfam family "Bacterial small subunit ribosomal RNA", at positions 524 to 776 of the family's 1533-position model. The record is from RNAcentral.
UACGAAGGGGGCUAGCGUUGCUCGGAAUCACUGGGCGUAAAGCGCACGUAGGCGGAUUGCUAAGUCAGGGGUGAAAUCCUGGAGCUCAACUCCAGAACUGCCUUUGAUACUGGCGAUCUUGAGUCCGGGAGAGGUGAGUGGAACUGCGAGUGUAGAGGUGAAAUUCGUAGAUAUUCGCAAGAACACCAGUGGCGAAGGCGGCUCACUGGCCCGUUACUGACGCUGAGGUGCGAAAGCGUGGGGAGCAAACAGG